AGAGCGAACGCUGGCGGCAGGCCUAACACAUGCAAGUCGAGCGCCCGUAGCAAUACGGGAGCGGCAGACGGGAUAGUAACACGUGGGAACGCGCCCUUCGGUUCGGAAUAACUCAGGGAAACUUGAGCUAAUACCGGAUACGCCCUUACGGGGAAAGAUUUAUUGCCGAAGGAACGGCCCGCGUCCGAUUAGCUAGUUGGUGAGGUAAUGGCUCACCAAGGCGACGAUCGGUAGCUGGUCUGAGAGGAUGACCAGCAUCACUGGGACUGAGACACGGCCCAGACUCCUACGGGAGGCAGCAGUGGGGAAUAUUGGACAAUGGGCGCAAGCCUGAUCCAGCCAUGCCGCGUGGAUGAUGAAGGCCUUAGGGUUGUAAAGCUCUUUCACCCUACGACGAUAAUGACGGUAGUGGGAGAAGAAGCCCGGCUAACUUCGUGCCAGCAGCCGC
Molecule: ribosomal RNA, 448 nt
Filed under: uncultured bacterium
Lineage: Bacteria
Description: SSU rRNA
Rfam family: Bacterial small subunit ribosomal RNA
Source: RNAcentral